GACGAACGCUGGCGGCGUGCUUAACACAUGCAAGUCGAACGGAAAGGCCUCUUUCGGGGGGUACUCGAGUGGCGAACGGGUGAGUAACACGUGAGUAACCUGCCCGUGACUUUGGGAUAACUUCAGGAAACUGGGGCUAAUACCGGAUAGGAGCUCCUGCUGCAUGGUGGGGGUUGGAAAGUUUCGGCGGUUGGGGAUGGACUCGCGGCUUAUCCGCUUGUUGGUGGGGUAGUGGCUUACCAAGGCUUUGCCGGGUAGCCGGACUGAGAGGGUGACCGGCCACAUUGAGACUGAGAUACGGCCCAGACUCCUACGGGAGGCAGCAGUGGGGAAUAUUGCACAAUGGAUGGAAGCCUGAUGCAGCAACGCCGUGUGCGGGAUGACGGCCUUCGGGUUGUAAACCGCUUUCGCUCAUGACGAAGCUUUGUGUGACGGUAGUGGGUAAAGAAGCACCGGCUAACUACGUG
Molecule: ribosomal RNA, 467 nt
Filed under: uncultured bacterium
Lineage: Bacteria
Description: partial 16S ribosomal RNA
Rfam family: Bacterial small subunit ribosomal RNA
Source: RNAcentral